AGAGUUUGAUCAUGGCUCAGAUUGAACGCUGGCGGCAGGCCUAACACAUGCAAGUCGAGCGGUAGCACAGAGAGCUUGCUCUCGGGUGACGAGCGGCGGACGGGUGAGUAAUGUCUGGGAAACUGCCUGAUGGAGGGGGAUAACUACUGGAAACGGUAGCUAAUACCGCAUAACGUCGCAAGACCAAAGUGGGGGACCUUCGGGCCUCAUGCCAUCAGAUGUGCCCAGAUGGGAUUAGCUAGUAGGUGGGGUAACGGCUCACCUAGGCGACGAUCCCUAGCUGGUCUGAGAGGAUGACCAGCCACACUGGAACUGAGACACGGUCCAGACUCCUACGGGAGGCAGCAGUGGGGAAUAUUGCACAAUGGGCGCAAGCCUGAUGCAGCCAUGCCGCGUGUGUGAAGAAGGCCUUCGGGUUGUAAAGCACUUUCAGCGGGGAGGAAGGCGAUAAGGUUAAUAACCUCAUCGAUUGACGUUACCCGCAGAAGAAGCACCGGCUAACUCCGUGCCAGCAGCCGCGGUAAUACGGAGGGUGCAAGCGUUAAUCGGAAUUACUGGGCGUAAAGCGCACGCAGGCGGUCUGUCAAGUCGGAUGUGAAAUCCCCGGGCUCAACCUGGGAACUGCAUUCGAAACUGGCAGGCUAGAGUCUUGUAGAGGGGGGUAGAAUUCCAGGUGUAGCGGUGAAAUGCGUAGAGAUCUGGAGGAAUACCGGUGGCGAAGGCGGCCCCCUGGACAAAGACUGACACUCAGGUGCGAAAGCGUGGGGAGCAAACAGGAUUAGAUACCCUGGUAGUCCACGCCGUAAACGAUGUCGAUUUGGAGGUUGUGCCCUUGAGGCGUGGCUUCCGGAGCUAACGCGUUAAAUCGACCGCCUGGGGAGUACGGCCGCAAGGUUAAAACUCAAAUGAAUUGACGGGGGCCCGCACAAGCGGUGGAGCAUGUGGUUUAAUUCGAUGCAACGCGAAGAACCUUACCUGGUCUUGACAUCCACAGAACUUUCCAGAGAUGGAUUGGUGCCUUCGGGAACUGUGAGACAGGUGCUGCAUGGCUGUCGUCAGCUCGUGUUGUGAAAUGUUGGGUUAAGUCCCGCAACGAGCGCAACCCUUAUCCUUUGUUGCCAGCGGUUCGGCCGGGAACUCAAAGGAGACUGCCAGUGAUAAACUGGAGGAAGGUGGGGAUGACGUCAAGUCAUCAUGGCCCUUACGACCAGGGCUACACACGUGCUACAAUGGCAUAUACAAAGAGAAGCGACCUCGCGAGAGCAAGCGGACCUCAUAAAGUAUGUCGUAGUCCGGAUUGGAGUCUGCAACUCGACUCCAUGAAGUCGGAAUCGCUAGUAAUCGUAGAUCAGAAUGCUACGGUGAAUACGUUCCCGGGCCUUGUACACACCGCCCGUCACACCAUGGGAGUGGGUUGCAAAAGAAGUAGGUAGCUUAACCUUCGGGAGGGCGCUUACCACUUUGUGAUUCAUGACUGGGGUGAAGUCGUAACAAGGUAACCGUAGGGGAACCUGCGGUUGGAUCACCU
Molecule: ribosomal RNA, 1528 nt
Filed under: Klebsiella pneumoniae
Lineage: Bacteria; Pseudomonadati; Pseudomonadota; Gammaproteobacteria; Enterobacterales; Enterobacteriaceae
Description: bacterial SSU rRNA
Rfam family: Bacterial small subunit ribosomal RNA
Source: RNAcentral